This 433-nucleotide ribosomal RNA is filed under the name uncultured bacterium. RNAcentral's name for it is "partial 16S ribosomal RNA". It matches the Rfam family "Bacterial small subunit ribosomal RNA", at positions 29 to 507 of the family's 1533-position model. The record is from RNAcentral.
AGCGAACGCUGGCGGCAGGCCUAACACAUGCCAGUCGAACGGAUCCUUCGGGAUUAGUGGCGGACGGGUGAGUAACACGUGGGAACGUGCCCUUUGGUUCGGAACAACUCAGGGAAACUUGAGCUAAUACCGGAUGUGCCCUUCGGGGGAAAGAUUUAUCGCCAUUGGAGCGGCCCGCGUCUGAUUAGCUAGUUGGUGAGGUAACGGCCCACCAAGGCGACGAUCAGUAGCUGGUCUGAGAGGAUGAUCAGCCACACUGGGACUGAGACACGGCCCAGACUCCUACGGGAGGCAGCAGUGGGGAAUCUUGCGCAAUGGGCGAAAGCCUGACGCAGCCAUGCCGCGUGAAUGAUGAAGGCCUUAGGAUUGUAAAAUUCUUUCAGCGGGGACGAUAAUGACGGUACCCGCAGAAGAAGCUCCGGCUAACUUCGUG